Molecule: long non-coding RNA, 349 nt
Filed under: Panax ginseng (ginseng)
Lineage: Eukaryota; Viridiplantae; Streptophyta; Magnoliopsida; Apiales; Araliaceae
Description: long non-coding RNA (PGIN_LNC010652)
Source: RNAcentral
UUGAAUCCAAAACAGUUUCCGAAAUCACCGUAUUAUUAACUAAUAGAGCUUGCCUCCACCAUCCAACUUUGCUGACUUGACAAUCACUUAAUCGAUGGCCAUGAAGAUCAGGAUCCAAGUUACCUGAGAUAAGAAGCGGAAUGGCCACAUCUUUGCCCUCUAUUGGAAGACAAGCAUUGGUCUCACCUCUCUCUAAGAACUUUGUUGUUGCAUCCAUACAACUAAUAUGCUCCUUUGCAUCUAGGGCCGUCACAACACCUUUUUUUUGCAAUGUAAACAAACUAAUUGGAGAAAACCGAGAAACUGAGGUGCUUGGAGCAGAAAACCUGGAUACAAGGAUGCAUUUGGA